Molecule: transfer RNA, 63 nt
Filed under: Scolytinae sp. BMNH 1274713
Lineage: Eukaryota; Metazoa; Arthropoda; Insecta; Coleoptera; Curculionidae
Description: tRNA-Cys
Source: RNAcentral
AAUUAUAUAGUCAAUAAAUGACGCUGAAUUGCAAAUUCAGAAGAGAAAAUAUUUCUAUAGUUU